Mustela lutreola (European mink) is the source of this 1017-nucleotide long non-coding RNA. RefSeq lists it as uncharacterized. The transcript is spliced from 4 exons. Lineage: Eukaryota; Metazoa; Chordata; Mammalia; Carnivora; Mustelidae. The record is from RefSeq and is a predicted model, not a curated record.
UCCGAUUAAAUCUCAGACGCGUUUCAACAGCACGCUAAUUUUGGACCCUUGCCCCCCAUGCGCGUGUCUGUUUGGGUAUGAAAUGCUGAGGGGUCUUCGGAAAUGGCCCUCUGCCUUUGGUGACUGACCUUCCCUCUUGAGCAGCUGAAGUGAGACAGACAAGGUGAAUCUCUGCUGACUUUUCUGUGGCUGCAUCUGUGCACAGUGCGCGUAGUCCUGCUGUGACCCUCCACACGCCGCGCCUGGAUGCCACGUGAGCAGCUGCUGUGGCCAGGACGUCUGCGGCCUCUUCAUGUCAUCCUUAGGGCAGCCGAUGAGGGGACAGCAUAAGAUAGAACCUGUGGCUGUCCCCACUGAAGAGGCUGACGCUCCAGAAGGAGGUUGGGCCAAGGCUGCAAAGAAAGGGCUUUUGCUGUCAUGGAGAGGGCUGGUGUGGCUCGAGCAGCCACAGAGGAGGGUUCAGCUGGACAGAGGCUGCCUGAAGUCGUGAGUGCUGAUGUCUCCUGAGAGAGUUCGUUCCUGGCUCGAUGCUGGACCCCUGGUGAUGGUGUUGAAUAAAGCCUCGUGGAAGCCAUCAGACCCCUCCUUACGGUAACACUGGUGUGUAGUUAAUGGAUCCUUAAUAUUCUGGUGAAGCAGCCACUCAUUGUGGUAUUUGGUAAAGAACCAAGUCUAAGGAACUAUUAAUGCCCCAUCUGACGUGGAUUUAUUCAGAAGGGCAUUACAGAGGUGUUUUAUUACUUGGCAUGAGAGGAACCCGGCCUACGUGACUGACAUGGGCAGCCAAGAAUGCCUUGGGGAUCAGUGAUUGGCGGGGGAAGAAGAGGAAUUGCGGGGAGCACAAGAGGGGAGAGAUACUCACGGCAGACUCAGGGUCAUGCGGGAGGGUGCCCAGGUGGGAACCGGCCACUCCUGAAUGCUGACGCUUCAGGUCACAGACAGGAAGCCGCCCAGUGAAGUCCUUGCCACCACUGAGGGUCAUGACAGCCCUCGCUUUCCAGCAUCUGCUGACGAGUG